GGUUACGCAGUUGGGACAUCACUGGGGUCCGCGUCGCUGCUAUGCAGCGGCAGGCGCUGGGAGUGACCAAGUGCUCAGCUGAUUUGGUUGCCUGCGUCUCACUGUUGGAAGUGGGGGAUUAUUUGGGGAGGGCUCCUGGUUUUGUGUAUUUUUGAGAAGAACGUAGAUAGUCCUUUCCUGGAACGGGAGAGCGGCCCGGUCCUAGUGCCGGCUAAUACUAGGGGCUGUGGAGCGGACGGAGGUUGUGGCCCUACCUAAGCGUGACCUCGCUCCGCGAAGCCGCCCGCGGGGCGCUGAUGGCCGAACGCAUUCUGGGAAAGACUUUAGCCACGGUGUCUCUCUCUCUGGCCUUGGCCUCUGUGACUGUCAAGUCCUCGGGCUGUUGCAGCAUUCCGGCGUGCAGAAACUCAUUUUUAUCCUGUGGGUUUCAUCUUAACUCCAACAUCAUGUCUAGUUCUAAUGGUGCCAAAGAGAAUUCGCACAACAAGGCUCGAACAUCUCCGUAUCCUGGUUCAAAAGUCCAACGCAGCCAGGUUCCAAAUGAGAAAGUAGGAUGGUUUGUUGAGUGGCAAGACUAUAAUCCCGUGGAAUACACUGCUGUCUCUGUCUUGGCAGGACCCAGGUGGGCCGAUCCUCAGAUCAGUGAAAGUAACUUCUUUCCCAAGUUUAAUGAAAAGGAUGGGCAUGUUGAGAGAAAGAGCCAGAAUGGUCUAUAUGAGAUUGAAAAUGGAAGACCCAGAAAUCCUGCAGGACGGACAGGACUGAUUGGCCGGGGGCUUUUGGGGCGAUGGGGCCCAAAUCAUGCUGCAGAUCCCAUCAUAACCAGGUGGAAAAGGGAUAGAAGUGGAAAUAAAAUUACCCACCCUGUUUCUGGGAAAAACAUCUUACAGUUUGUGGCAAUAAAAAGGAAAGACUGUGGAGAAUGGGCAAUCCCAGGGGGGAUGGUGGACCCAGGAGAGAAGAUUAGUACUACACUGAAAAGAGAAUUUGGUGAGGAAGCUCUCAACUCCUUACAGAAAUCCAGUGCAGAAAAGAGAGAAUUAGAGGAACAGUUGCACAAACUCUUCAGCCAGGAACAUCUAGUGAUAUAUAAAGGAUAUGUCGAUGAUCCUCGAAACACUGAUAAUGCAUGGAUGGAGACAGAAGCUGUGAACUACCAUGAUGAAACAGAUGCCAAGCUGUGAGCAGUCCUAUGGAGAGGACCACAUGGUGAGGAAAUGGAGUCUUCCAGCAGUAGCCAUGUGGGCGAGUUCAGAGGAGAUCCUAAGAUAGAACUGUCCAGAUAAACAACUCCUAGAUUCCUGAUCCUUGGAAAAUGUGAACUUAUGAGAAGACAGAGGCAAAGAGUGUGUAAGGUAAAACACUAGAGAGUGCCCGGAUGCAAGUCCUGGUAGACGCCUCAGAAUCCCCCUGGAUAACCACUGUACUGUGGUACAAUGCGAAGAUGGGAGGAGCCGGCAGGAACUCGGAAAAUGGAUUUAUUCUGGGCUGUGCAGUAUGUGCUUUGAAGUGAGGUUAUUUCUAUCUCUCUUCCUUUGCCUUCCCAGUAGUUCUCCCCCCGCACUCCAGAGUAAACUGGUCACUGUUUUAGUAGCUUUCUUGUUCAUUUUCUUAACACCUAUUCAUCGAAUCUCUAAAGAAAACAUUUAGCUACUCCAAUUGUUGAGUACAUAGUUGAUUGCAUAAUAGGAAGGAAACAAGCCAAGACUGGAGACUUCAUUUCUAAAGAAGGAUUUUAGAGCAGACUAAGAGUUAUUUCACAGAGUGGGUCAUGAAACUCAGUCUCUCUAUACCCUUUCAUCUCUAUGACGACAGGCUGCUCCUGCUACAUGUAGCCAGAAAAAGCAGCUGACAUUUCAAUGCUAGGAGCACAGGGGGAGAGGUUUACAAAAACAAAAAACAAAACCCAAACCCUUUCGUUUGAAUUUCAGUUAGAAAGGAAAAAAUACCCCUGGAGCAAGUCAAAACCCCUAUUCUUGCCUUUAGAAAAGAUAAGAAAGGAGAAAUGUUGGGGGCCUUCUCCCCUGUCCAACUAGGCCAAUAAAACAGAAUCAACUGCAAAGCAGCAUUUCAUCUCACUCUCUUAAUGGCAAUCUGAAACAGAAAACUCCCUUUGGUUUCAUUUGACUUGGUCCUUAAGAAGAAACUAAUUGAUGAAGCAGUAAAGACUCACAGUAAUAAAUACUUCAUGUUGAGCACCCCCCCCCCCCAGGGGAGUACAGUAGAUUCAGAUUUAUUUUUCCAUUCCUUUGGAUAAAAAAAAAGACAAUUCAAAGAAUAUUUCCUUCUCAACCCCCAAUUUUGUUAUCUGAAAAAUCAUUUCAAGUGUAUAACUGAAUACUUUCUCACGCUGUGCCACUCUGCCAGGUGCUACACUUGGUAUUUUAAAAACAUCUCAUUUAACUCCUACAACAACUGCAUUUGUGGGUAUUAUUAUCACUGCUUGCUUAAUAGAUGGGUAAACUAAGAAACCUUGAGAGAAAACCGAAAGUAAAUUCCUUUUUACAGUGUUCCAGUUGGGACACCUAGGUAGGGUGGUGUUUUCAUUAUUAGCUAUGAUUAACUGAUUGCUUCAUAUGCACCAGGCAUAGGUGUUUUCUUGACUUAAUUAUCAUAACAAAUCUCUGAAAUGGCAAAUAAUUUUAUGAUCCUCAUUUCCACAGAUGAGGGGACUGAGGCUCAAAGACUCAUUUGUCCAAAGUCACAGAGCCUGGUAAAGCCCAGGUAUAAGCCACGUCUGUGUGUUUCCAGAAUUCAUGGUCUUACUUUAUUACACCAUCUCCUACAAUUAUUAGAGACCGCACAUUCUGUCCCCCAGAGUUCUGUGUACCUUUUGAUGCCCAACACAAAAACCAGGCCCAGGUGGUAUUACCAGUGCAAGCUCAGCCUUUGGCAGAAGAUGUCCUGUGGGCCUUGUGUGAACCAGACCCCAGCUUAGCUGGGCAUCUCUUGGGGAGCCAGGUCUACUGGGGAAGUUCUCCUGGACUUAUGGGGCCCCUUUCCCCUUCACUGAAGGCUGUUCCAGAAGGACAUGUAAAGGAAAAGGGCACCUGAAGUCUUUUAACAGCAGUUGUUUAUGUUUUUCUUGGUGGAAAAAGCAUAAACAAACAAAUGUUUGUAUACUGUUAUUAAAUGGAAUAAAAAUAAUAGUCAAGAGAAAAUGAAAUGAAUAGUGUUCUGGAGUUGUCUAGAGACAUCACUAUUCAUUUCAUUCUUGUCAUCAGUAUUUAUUUUUAUGUAGUUGAUAAGUGAAGUUGCACAUGAGAAAGUACUGGGGACUGAACCCCAAAAGACCUGGAGAAGAAACCUCAGGAAUUGCUAAACAGGUGUACAGAAAUUCCAUAAAAGGAAAAAGGCAAGAUUCAUGAAUAACACGUACGCAUUCUUUUUAAAAAUUUGGGAAGUAGCAUUAGUUGAUUGGAUGAUAAGUAGAUGAAACAGACUGAUUGCUCUUCUUUGCUAGAUCUGGUUGAAUGAAUAGAAAUAUAAACUUAAAUCUUUCCUAAGAGGGGUGUCCUUUUUUUAAACAGUCAUGGUUAACAAUAGUCACUACCACCAAAGUUUAGAUGAGUAAGCUCCGAACUCAAAAAAAGUUGGUAUCCAAGAGAGAGGGGAGAAUUUAUUAAAAAGAUUUUUGCUGAGUUGGAUCGAGUGAACAUUUCUAUUCAGUGCAGUCAGGCAGUGGGCCAGAGGAAAGCUCAGACACAAUGCCAAGGUGACAUAUUUAACCUCUUUGAAGAUUAAAGGCAGUGCAAAAGAGACAGUCUUUCCUCAGUACCGCUUGGUUAUAGUAUCAACAGUACCCAUCUACAGUUGAAAGGAUGGUUUUCUCCUGCAGGGGGACCUCUAAUACCUAGGAGGAAUGAGUGAGCAUGAUGUACAUUAUUGUUUUAUUCUAGUAGAGCCAGAAUGAUAAUACCGUAUGAUAUAGAAUUUGCCAUAAUCUCCUCAGCUCUCUGGUUUCCCUACCUCCUUCCCUCCCCAAGUAGGACAUCAUCAGGAAUUAGAUAAAUUUUAUGUGUGUGCACCUUAAAAAACAAUGGAGGGAGACAAGAGACAGCUAGUCAUAAAAGUAUAAAAGGGAAUUAGGAAAGGAAUAAUAGUCUUAAUAACUAAAAAACAAUAAAAGAAGAUUAUAGUAGUGCAGCAAUUUUCCUGCCUUUUGGAAAAGCAAAAUGUUCCAUGUCUAUAUUGCUGGUAGGUACACACUGGGACAGUGGUGCUGAUGAAAUAAUUUCAGAUAAUUUAAACAUGGAAAACAUACAUGUUACUUUGAUUUGAAAGUUCUUUUUUAAACUACUUCCCUUAUGAUUUACUUAAUAUACUCAGUAAAAUAUUUCUAUAAAACACAUUUCCAGAUUCAGACUUCACCAAGAUCUGAAUGCUAAUCUGGCCAAAAACAGUUCUACAUUUGUGUUCUUGGUCUUCAUUAAAACCAUCAUUUAUUACUACUUACUAUAUAAUCUUGAAGAAGAAAAGGAAACAUGAAUACAAGAGUUAAAAUUUCUUACUAAGUAGCUUUUCUGUAAAUCACACAAAAGUUUGUUUUUUGGUUUUUUUUUUGUAAAUAAAUGGCUUUGUCUUAGGAAAAAAAUACUAGACAUCUUCAUUGGAUCAUGCAGUGUAGUAUAACAAAUGCAAUUAGAUGAUAUAGUAAACUUAUUAAAAUUUACCUUCAGGUAGGUGGCUGGACCCAGAGCCUCGAUACAAAAUUGCAGUUGAAUCCUCUCUUUGCACACAGCCAAGAAAUAAAAGUUUGACAAAUACCUAAUACACUUUAAAAAAUCUCUUCCCUCAUUAGCUCUGCUUCUCUGCCCAGACACACAUUCGAGUCUGUUGGAGUUGAAAUUCUGCUGCUCUGUCAACUAGUCAGGGUCUGAGGUGACAGACAAAUGUGGAGGUUGGCACUGGGGGUAUUUCAGGCUGUCAUCGUUUUUGUUGCAGAUUCCUGCAGUUCUCCGGCAGGCUGGCCUCUCCGAGGGCGCGAGGAGCUUUCCAGGCAGUGCAAGCCAACAGGGAAAGAGCUCAUUCUGCCAGAGAGACUAUGGGGUUAACAGUCCUCCCCUCAAGCUCUUGUUCUCAGAAGCUAAUAACUUGGCCAGAAGAGAAGCACGUGGCUCUUCAUGCUUUUUUUUUUUUUCCCCUUUUUCAAACAACUCUAAAAGCAAGCAGGAUCCCUUUUUUGGGGAUUUUUUAUUUUAAGACUUUGAAAAGAAACUCUGUUGUUUCUUAAAGGAAAUUGAGGGGGGGGGUUAAGGAAGGGGAGAAGAAUAAUUGCAGCAGAUGCAUUUUUAAAUUUUUUAAUUGGAAACUGUCUCACGAAUAUACUCUCGAUUUUAAUCAUAGCAGGGUACUUCAGAUACUUCAAACUUUCUUUAAAUGACCUUCAGGGAUUUAUGUAUAUAUGAAGCAUCACUCAUUCAUAUUAUAGAUCACUUGUAUGCUGAUUCAGAAACCUUUGCGGUUCACAGACUAUUAUUCUCCCCACACAACUCCCUACUAACCGUCCUCCCUCCCCCCUCCCCGUAUAAUGACUGAUCUGUUAAGAAACUUUCUCAUGAAACAGACUGGCGUUAUGCAUUUAUUUUUGACUUGGCAUUCUGGUUGUUUGUUUGUGUCUAAUCUGUUCUACUGCUACUCUCACAUUUAUUGUACAUUUAUUAUGUGUCAGACACUGUGCUAACAGUUUGUUAUGUGCAUUAUUUCAGUUGAGUCUCACACGUUUAUAUGAGGUGAGUAUGCUCCCAUUUGAGCGUGGUGUAGUAUUAAGUGGUAAAGUCUGCAUGUUUUGAGGCCACACAGCUUGAGUUUACAUCCUGGCUUCACCACUUCCCAACUAUAUGACCUGAGACAAAUUAUGUAACCUCUCAAAGCUUCAGUAUCCUUAUCUAUAAGAUGGGGGAUACAAAUAUGGGGAUGAGAAUAAUAUCUAUCUCAGGCAGUUUUUCUGAGUUUUAGGUAAAUACAAAUGCACAGAACACCUCCUGUCACCCAGCAGAUGCUCAAAUGUUAUUGGAGGAAACCUAGGCUUAGUAGCUGAGUGAUUUUUCCAGAGUCUCCAGCUCGUAAAGGUAAAGAGUGGGAUUCCAACCCAGCUACCUUGGCCAAUUGCUAUGCUUGUGUUACUCAAACUACAGGCUAUAAUACCUCCUUCUGAGUGAGCUGUGAGUUCCUUGAGGGUAGAGAUGUGUUCCUUCUUCCUGGCACAGUGUUUUGCAGACUGUAAAUGCUCCAUUAACUUCAAAUGUAUGGUUAUAAUUUAAUUUAGAUUUUCUACAUUUAUGCCAAAGUCAGGCCAAAAGCAAAACAAUGAC
Neofelis nebulosa (Clouded leopard) is the source of this 6314-nucleotide RNA transcript. It is a transcript of the gene named nudix hydrolase 9, with no coding region annotated. The record is from RefSeq and is a predicted model, not a curated record. The transcript has 9 exons. Lineage: Eukaryota; Metazoa; Chordata; Mammalia; Carnivora; Felidae.